Long non-coding RNA from Equus quagga, 1274 nucleotides. RefSeq lists it as uncharacterized. Lineage: Eukaryota; Metazoa; Chordata; Mammalia; Perissodactyla; Equidae. The transcript has 6 exons. The record is from RefSeq and is a predicted model, not a curated record.
UGGGGAACCACAGAACAAACCUGGUGAAAUCACUCAGCCCCGGAGCGUCAGCCUUCCAAGUUGCUUCAUAAUUAGAAAACAAAACGCUCAGCUACAAUACCAACGGUGUUUUUACCUUCUCUGGCUACUGAAUUAUUUAUUCAAAAAAGCUUUAUCACCAGUGUGUUAUCCGGCCACCCUAGAGGGGAAGGGAUCCUUUUAUAGUGAAUAUAAGGAAUCAGAAUGAGAUAACCAGAUAAUUUAAUUUGACGUGAAUAGAUAUUGUGAGAAGCCCCAGGUAGCAUUUUCUUGCUGAAUAUGAAAUAGUUCAAGGGAAGGGACAUCAACGGCAAACAGCAGAGAAAACUAACUUGUGUAGUUGAGAACAGGUAAUGGUUUUGGACGGGCAUUGCAGCACUGAGCAGCCCGGCUUAGACGCAUAAACUCUCUGAGCAAGGAGGCCUUCAGUCCACCCGGUGAUGUCCGCUGGGUGUGUGCUAGGGAAGAGCACCCCGGUGUCCCUGGGCAAGCUUUCAAGAUGAGCUAUCACUAUCGGAGGAAGAAAUUAUGAAACUUGGACAGCCUUUUGCUUCACGACGGCCUGUGAAUUAUUAUCUCGCACUAUGUGCUCUCCUCCGUGCUUGCAAAUUGAUUUUUGGAUGAUUUGUUCCGGUUUUUCCAGAUUAGCCCUGAGCUAACAUCUGCUGCCAAUCCUCCUCUUUUUUGCUGAGGAAGACUGACCCUGAGCUAACAUCUGUGCCCAUCUUCCUCUACUUUCCAUGUGGGACACCUGCGACAGCGUGGCUUGCCAAGUGGUGCGUAGGUCCGAACUCAGACCAAACUGAUGAACCUGGGCCCCGAAGUGGAACAUUCGAACUUAACAGCUGCGCCACUGGGCCACCCCGAGGGUUCCACUUUAUCCACAUUCUUGCCAUUGUCUGUCUUUUUGGUUAUAGUCAUUCUAGUGUGUGUGGAGUAGUAUUUCGUUGUGGUUUUCUUUUGGGCCCCCAAAAUAAAAAAACUGCAAGAGUGAAACUGAGCUCUGGUGACUAGCUGAGACACUUCCCCUUCUGCCCCGCCCACGAAUAUCCUCAUUAUGAUCCUGAACUCUCCCUUGCUGCCCUCGGACUUCUGUGGCUGCUUCAUGUCGUCUUCUGCCUUAGGAAUCACUGUCAGUGGCUCAGAGCUGAGAGGGCCACAUGUGCCCAGCCAUGCAGGCACCUGCUCCUGGAAUUUCAAGUUUGAAAUCUGAAAGCGCUUUCUAUUGCCCGCUGGUCAGGCAGCAUAGCACUCGA